RNAcentral lists this ribosomal RNA (1398 nucleotides) under Dechloromonas sp. I20. Its description in RNAcentral is "bacterial SSU rRNA". It matches the Rfam family "Bacterial small subunit ribosomal RNA". Lineage: Bacteria; Pseudomonadati; Pseudomonadota; Betaproteobacteria; Rhodocyclales; Azonexaceae. The record is from RNAcentral.
GUCGAACGGCAGCACGGACUUCGGUCUGGUGGCGAGUGGCGAACGGGUGAGUAAUGUAUCGGAACGUACCUUUCAGUGGGGGAUAACGUAGCGAAAGUUACGCUAAUACCGCAUAUUCUGUGAGCAGGAAAGCAGGGGAUCGCAAGACCUUGCGCUGAUUGAGCGGCCGAUAUCAGAUUAGCUAGUUGGUGGGGUAAAGGCCUACCAAGGCUACGAUCUGUAGCGGGUCUGAGAGGAUGAUCCGCCACACUGGAACUGAGACACGGUCCAGACUCCUACGGGAGGCAGCAGUGGGGAAUUUUGGACAAUGGGGGCAACCCUGAUCCAGCCAUGCCGCGUGAGUGAAGAAGGCCUUCGGGUUGUAAAGCUCUUUCGGCCGGGAAGAAAUCGCAUCAGCUAAUACCUGGUGUGGAUGACGGUACCGGAAUAAGAAGCACCGGCUAACUACGUGCCAGCAGCCGCGGUAAUACGUAGGGUGCGAGCGUUAAUCGGAAUUACUGGGCGUAAAGCGUGCGCAGGCGGUUGUGUAAGACAGGCGUGAAAUCCCCGGGCUCAACCUGGGAACUGCGCUUGUGACUGCACAGCUAGAGUACGGCAGAGGGGGGUGGAAUUCCACGUGUAGCAGUGAAAUGCGUAGAGAUGUGGAGGAACACCGAUGGCGAAGGCAGCCCCCUGGGCCGAUACUGACGCUCAUGCACGAAAGCGUGGGUAGCAAACAGGAUUAGAUACCCUGGUAGUCCACGCCCUAAACGAUGUCAACUAGGUGUUGGGUGGGUAAAACCAUUUAGUACCGUAGCUAACGCGUGAAGUUGACCGCCUGGGGAGUACGGCCGCAAGGUUAAAACUCAAAGGAAUUGACGGGGACCCGCACAAGCGGUGGAUGAUGUGGAUUAAUUCGAUGCAACGCGAAAAACCUUACCUACCCUUGACAUGUCCAGAAGCCCGGAGAGAUUUGGGUGUGCCCGAAAGGGAACUGGAACACAGGUGCUGCAUGGCUGUCGUCAGCUCGUGUCGUGAGAUGUUGGGUUAAGUCCCGCAACGAGCGCAACCCUUGUCGUUAAUUGCCAUCAUUUAGUUGGGCACUUUAACGAGACUGCCGGUGACAAACCGGAGGAAGGUGGGGAUGACGUCAAGUCCUCAUGGCCCUUAUGGGUAGGGCUUCACACGUCAUACAAUGGUCGGUACAGAGGGUUGCCAAGCCGCGAGGUGGAGCCAAUCCCAGAAAGCCGAUCGUAGUCCGGAUUGCAGGCUGCAACUCGCCUGCAUGAAGUCGGAAUCGCUAGUAAUCGCGGAUCAGCAUGUCGCGGUGAAUACGUUCCCGGGUCUUGUACACACCGCCCGUCACACCAUGGGAGCGGGUUCCGCCAGAAGUAGGUAGCCUAACCGCAAGGAGGGCGC